AUCCAAUCCGACCGUCCACUUGAUGUGGAAUUUUGCAUGAAAUUGUCAAUGCAAGUCUUCUAAAUGCUCAAGAAUUUUUAGCCCAAUCCAACUUACAAAUUGUGAGAAAACCUCCAAAAAUUGUACCAAUAUCACUAGGCCACCAACUGGAAAAGUGAAGUAGAAAUCCUAGCAAUGAUUUCUCCUUUUAUGACCAUUAACUUUGUCUCAAAAUUGGUGCGUAUCUUGAUCUUUAAGUCCUCCAAUACCAUGCCAAUUUUUACUUUAAUCCAAUUGAUAGAUCUUUAGAUAUCAUAGAAACCCUACCCAACCUCAAACUGCCACCUUCUGAAACCCUCUUUUGCUAAAAACUAGAUAUCUCUAAACCAUGCCGUUAGAUUAUCAGAAAAUUUUGUAUACACUUGGCACACCCAAUAAUCCAAAUAAUAUUAAAUUUUCAACCAUAGAUGUCAUGCCAAUUGUACGAACUAGCCAAAAUUUCUAGUCCUAAUUAUAUUAUAUAAAAUCCAAAUUGCUGAUACAAACUUUGACUUUGAACAAUAAUUGCUAAGUCCUCCAAAACCCUCUCAAAACAAUUCUUAUGCCUUUGGAAAGAACUUCAAGC
Molecule: long non-coding RNA, 604 nt
Filed under: Physcomitrium patens
Lineage: Eukaryota; Viridiplantae; Streptophyta; Bryopsida; Funariales; Funariaceae
Description: long non-coding RNA (PPAT_LNC002178)
Source: RNAcentral